UUAUUUCGUUAUUUCAUAUUGCAUUUUAGUUCGUUAUCUCAUAUUUCAUAUCGCAUUUUAGUUCGUUAUCUCAUAUUUCAUAUUGUGAACAUUGUCUGUUGACUGUUGUUGCUGUUGCGGCGGUCGCUGCUUAGUUUUGCUUCGGGAGUAGUCCCGUCAACGUGUGUGUGCCUUGUAUCUCCUGGCUGCUGCUUGGAUAUUGCCACCGGCUAUAUCCUUUUACUUCCCUAUUUUUUGCGUGUAGUUGUGGCUGUGGGCGGUAAUGGGUGGUUAGGGUCAUGUCCGAGGGGGUUGGGGCGUGGGGCUGUCAAAAGUUACGACUAUUUCAGGUUCCCGUCGUAAAACAACGCCAUAUUAGUCAGUGGCGCACCGGGCCACAAGAGGGAAUGACAUUUGGAAAAUUCCAGUAGGGGUCCACAAUUAUGUCACGUUGCGUUAGGGCCCAAAUUCAGAGUUUUUCUUUUCCAGUGUCUUAGCACGAUUUUCUCCGUGUCGCGCCAAAGUUCCAGGUCGCAAAAGAAGGGGAAAUGUGAUGGCUCCACGUCGCGCCAUCCCUCAGUUUCCUAAUUUUCAAAUUCCAGUGACACAACGCGAUAGCACCGCAUCGCGCCAGGGGUUCAAUUCGGGAAAUUUUUACUGAAAUUACAAGAUGCAUCCAGGGUUAAAAGGGUCAAUAUCCCACCCCUAUUUAAGCCCUUUAACACGUGAAUCAGCCACUUUUCACCCAAAAUAAACUCUCUUCUCUCAAAAACCUCUCAAGAAAAACCUAGGGCUUUUCAUAAAAGAUUCAGAAUCAUGAAUUUCCUCCGUCAAUCUUCAUAAAAUCACUAACUAAGGUAUGCGUAGUAUUCAUUCAUGGACUCCUUUCGUCCAUGAAGCCCAAGAAUAUCUUUUCUAAGUUUAAGUUUAUGGAUUUCUUUAUGAAUUUCAAGUUGGUUUUUUUUUUUAAGUUGAGAAUGAUCAAUUGAGUUCAAAUCCAUGUUGGGUGAUCAAUUUUAUUGUAAUUAAUAUGUAUGGAUGUAUAUUUAUGUAAACCUAUGAAUAAACACUAGAUGAUGAAAUUAGAGAUGAAUCAUGAUAAUUAAUUGUUGUAUAAUGUUGUCUACAUGUGCUAUACCUACCAUGUGUUUGAUUAAAUGCCUAGGUGAAGGAACAAUGCCCAACUAGUAUGAUAUUAUGAAAUCCCUAUGUAUGUACAAGUUAUGCCUAUCACAUGUUUUGAUGGGAUGAUUCUAUAAAUGUAUUAUGGAUUAUGAUGUUAGUUAUAUGUUCCAGUAAGUUAUGCUUGGUCAGUUUUCCUUCCAUCGAGUCCUAGGGGUACUUGUAUCCGAAAUAUUAGCUGUGUGCCUAGAGUCAUGUCAUGUUUCCACAAACUCUCAGUCAAGCUAUGAAUCCUUAGACUUCAGACAGUCUUAUAACUCAGGAACUCUACAUGAUCUAAUGUUGUUUGACAACUGACUAAGUUUAUGAGAUCUAACAAUUAGCCAGAUAUGCCCUUCAUGUGGUUGUAGAUAGCAGGGCAAGGAUGAGUAGGUUCAUUCAGGGGUGAAUAAUAGCAUGGUCAAUGAGGGAAGAUCUGCCAUGUCGAAUAGUGACAUGACUUAGCCAGUCUCAUGACUCAUGCUCAGCAGAUAGAGAAACAGAAGGUUAAGCAGAGGGAGAAGCAGAAUAAGAGAGCUAGGAUAGGUAGCUUUAAUUUUAGUCAGCCUAAGUCAGAGGAAGGCAAUCGCUCUUAGAUUUAUCCUAAGUCAUCAGUUCCAGCUCCUUCUUUAGCCAGUGAUCUAGUUCCUAAGUUCAGAGAGGGUAACAAAUAUAGAGCACUAGGCUCUAAGUCCCAGGGAAGUGUUCGCAAUGCCUGUACUUAUCCUCUUUGCCAGACUCUUGGCAAGCACCAUUAGGAUAUUUGUAGAAUUAGCAGUGGUAUUUGUUUCAGAUGUGGCAAGCCAGGUUGUAGAGUCA
RNAcentral lists this long non-coding RNA (1959 nucleotides) under Capsicum annuum. Its description in RNAcentral is "long non-coding RNA (CANN_LNC011627)". The record is from RNAcentral. Lineage: Eukaryota; Viridiplantae; Streptophyta; Magnoliopsida; Solanales; Solanaceae.